RNAcentral lists this ribosomal RNA (615 nucleotides) under Salmonella enterica subsp. enterica serovar Kentucky. RNAcentral's name for it is "partial 23S ribosomal RNA". It matches the Rfam family "Bacterial large subunit ribosomal RNA", at positions 1 to 644 of the family's 2925-position model. Lineage: Bacteria; Pseudomonadati; Pseudomonadota; Gammaproteobacteria; Enterobacterales; Enterobacteriaceae. The record is from RNAcentral.
GGGUUGUGAGGUUAAGCGACUAAGCGUACACGGUGGAUGCCCUGGCAGUCAGAGGCGAUGAAGGACGUGCUAAUCUGCGAUAAGCGCCGGUAAGGUGAUAUGAACCGUUAUAACCGGCGAUUUCCGAAUGGGGAAACCCAGUGUGACUCGUCACACUAUCAUUAACUGAAUCCAUAGGUUAAUGAGGCGAACCGGGGGAACUGAAACAUCUAAGUACCCCGAGGAAAAGAAAUCAACCGAGAUUCCCCCAGUAGCGGCGAGCGAACGGGGAGGAGCCCAGAGCCUGAAUCAGCAUGUGUGUUAGUGGAAGCGUCUGGAAAGGCGCGCGAUACAGGGUGACAGCCCCGUACACAAAAGCGCAUGUGCUGUGAGCUCGAUGAGUAGGGCGGGACACGUGGUAUCCUGUCUGAAUAUGGGGGGACCAUCCUCCAAGGCUAAAUACUCCUGACUGACCGAUAGUGAACCAGUACCGUGAGGGAAAGGCGAAAAGAACCCCGGCGAGGGGAGUGAAAAAGAACCUGAAACCGUGUACGUACAAGCAGUGGGAGCACAGGUUUACCUGUGUGACUGCGUACCUUUUGUAUAAUGGGUCAGCGACUUAUAUUCUGUAGCAAG